Citrobacter koseri ATCC BAA-895 is the source of this 390-nucleotide small RNA. It matches the Rfam family "Enterobacterial sRNA STnc550". The record is from Rfam. Lineage: Bacteria; Pseudomonadati; Pseudomonadota; Gammaproteobacteria; Enterobacterales; Enterobacteriaceae.
UACAUCUCACUCCAGACCAUAUCCUGAACUCCUGAAAAUACUGUAAGUAAACGUUUGCCUUUACACACCUUGAUCGCAACGUCAGGGUUGCGGCACGCCGGGAAAACGACACGGAACAUCAGGAAGGGGGCAAUGGCCGGUACGCUAAUCAAGUAAGCGUGGAAUUUUGUCUGAUCUUGACGAAAAGGGGAAGAGUUAAAAGCGCUUAUCAAUAUAAAUCAUGGGAGAUUUUUGCAUUCAAGUGUGUAAAAAUGCGCAAUAUCACUUUUUGUGUGGGAAUAAAAAGGAGAAAACUUGAUGAGCACCGAUCUGAAAUUUUCGUUAGUGACCACCAUUAUUGUGCUGGGCCUGAUUGUCGCAGGCGGUCUGACUGCCGCACUGAACUGAUUU